This 71-nucleotide transfer RNA is filed under the name Bacillus licheniformis. Its description in RNAcentral is "tRNA-Gly". It matches the Rfam family "tRNA". Rfam says of the family: Transfer RNA (tRNA) molecules are approximately 80 nucleotides in length. Their secondary structure includes four short double-helical elements and three loops (D, anti-codon, and T loops). Further hydrogen bonds mediate the characteristic L-shaped molecular structure. tRNAs have two regions of fundamental functional importance: the anti-codon, which is responsible for specific mRNA codon recognition, and the 3' end, to which the tRNAs corresponding amino acid is attached (by aminoacyl-tRNA synthetases). tRNAs cope with the degeneracy of the genetic code in two manners: having more than one tRNA (with a specific anti-codon) for a particular amino acid; and 'wobble' base-pairing, i.e. permitting non-standard base-pairing at the 3rd anti-codon position. Lineage: Bacteria; Bacillati; Bacillota; Bacilli; Caryophanales; Bacillaceae. The record is from RNAcentral.
GUGAGCUUAGUAUAAAGGUAGUAUCGAUGGCUUCCAACCAUUGGGUAUCGGUUCGAAUCCGAUAGAUCAUA